RNAcentral lists this ribosomal RNA (253 nucleotides) under uncultured bacterium. RNAcentral's name for it is "partial 16S ribosomal RNA". It matches the Rfam family "Bacterial small subunit ribosomal RNA", at positions 524 to 776 of the family's 1533-position model. The record is from RNAcentral.
UACGGAGGGUGCUAGCGUUGUUCGGAUUUACUGGGCGUAAAGGGCACGCAGGCGGCGAUACAAGAUAGGGGUGAAAUCCCAGGGCUCAACCCUGGAACUGCCUUUAUAACUGUAUUGCUUGAGUUCGAGAGAGGAUGGCGGAAUACCCAGUGUAGAGGUGAAAUUCGUAGAUAUUGGGUAGAACACCGGUGGCGAAGGCGGCCAUCUGGCUCGAAACUGACGCUGAGGUGCGAAAGCGUGGGGAGCGAACAGG